GUUAUUCGGAAUCACGGGGCUUAAAGCGCGUGUAGGCGGGCAGGCACGUCGGUCGCUGAAAUCCCCCGGCUCAACCGGGGAAGUGGCGCCGAUACGACCUUCCUGGAGGGACGUAGGGGGACCUGGAACUUCCGGUGGAGCGGUGAAAUGCGUUGAGAUCGGAAGGAACGCCCGUGGCGAAAGCGAGGUCCUGGACGUUUUCUGACGCUGAGACGCGAAAGCCAGGGGAGCAAACGGG
This 238-nucleotide ribosomal RNA is filed under the name uncultured bacterium. Its description in RNAcentral is "partial 16S ribosomal RNA". It matches the Rfam family "Bacterial small subunit ribosomal RNA", at positions 540 to 776 of the family's 1533-position model. The record is from RNAcentral.